RNA transcript from Drosophila erecta, 1879 nucleotides. It is a transcript of the gene named 14-3-3 protein epsilon, with no coding region annotated. Lineage: Eukaryota; Metazoa; Arthropoda; Insecta; Diptera; Drosophilidae. The transcript has 5 exons. The record is from RefSeq and is a predicted model, not a curated record.
CGCCCAUUAAUUUUAGUGUUUCACCCGCCGCCCGACACGGUCACACCGCUCGAGAAGUAGAGAAAAAAAGAAGGCGACGAAUCAAAGGCAGCAAGCGAAAUCGACGCCGCACGUACCGGGAGCAUUUAAAUAAUUUUUUCUGUGGAUUAAUUUAACCGAAAAGGCUUCAACACAAUGACUGAGCGCGAGAAUAAUGUGUACAAGGCAAAGCUGGCCGAACAGGCCGAGCGCUACGACGAAAUGGUGGAGGCCAUGAAGAAGGUCGCCUCCAUGGACGUAGAGCUGACCGUCGAGGAGCGAAAUCUGCUGUCGGUGGCGUACAAGAAUGUGAUCGGAGCACGCCGAGCCUCGUGGCGCAUCAUCACCUCGAUCGAACAGAAGGAGGAGAACAAAGGGGCCGAGGAGAAACUGGAGAUGAUCAAAACCUACCGCGGACAGGUGGAGAAGGAGCUGCGCGACAUCUGCUCGGAUAUACUGAACGUGCUCGAGAAGCAUCUCAUUCCAUGCGCCACAUCCGGCGAAAGCAAAGUAUUCUACUAUAAGAUGAAGGGCGACUACCAUCGCUACCUGGCCGAGUUCGCCACCGGCUCGGACCGCAAGGAUGCGGCGGAGAACUCCCUGAUUGCCUACAAGGCAGCCAGCGAUAUUGCCAUGAACGAUCUGCCCCCAACACACCCCAUCCGCUUGGGCUUGGCAUUGAACUUCUCGGUGUUCUACUAUGAGAUUCUCAACUCGCCGGACCGCGCUUGCCGCUUGGCGAAAGCCGCUUUCGAUGAUGCGAUUGCCGAGUUGGAUACGCUGAGUGAAGAGAGCUACAAAGACUCGACACUCAUCAUGCAGCUGCUGCGCGACAACCUCACAUUAUGGACGUCCGAUAUGCAGGCAGAAGAAGUAGACCCCAACGCAGGUGAUGGCGAGCCCAAAGAGCAAAUCCAGGAUGUUGAGGAUCAGGACGUGUCGUAAUUUAAGUAAACCCCCGCCCUUCCAUUUAAAACACAUUAUAUACCUUCUAAACAACUUCGAGAACAACAACAUGGAACCAACACGGCAAUAACAACAUCUCAACGCCAUCGACGAACGACAACCAUAGCAGCCGAUUACAAAAGUAACAACAGCAACAGCAGCAUCAGCAUAUAUGCAGCAUUAAAUCAGCAAGAAAGCCAGCAGCAACAAUUUGUCAUCAACAAUAAACAGCAUGGAAAACAACAGCACAAAAACAGAAAAAACAAAACAAACAAAAUGUUUGAAAAUUGGGCGGCCUGGUGGGCGUGGUGCGGCUGUUGCUGCGGAACAGAAUCGCAACGUAAAGAAUUCGCGGUACUAUUAAGUUGUCGCUUCGCCAUUUGGCUCUCCUUCACGUUAGAAAACUGCAACAUCAACUCUACUACAUUUGAAUUUUUUGCAUUCGAGAAACCAAGCAUUAUAUUAUAUUUAAAUAAAUAUUAUAUUUAAUUAUGAGAAGCAAAAACAAAACAAAUAAACUUCAUUUAAACCACAAGAGACAACACAAGCAGGAAAAGAACGAAAAUCGAGAAACAAUCACACGAGUAAAUCACAAAGCAAAUUUCAUCGAGUUGGCAUGCAUUAAUUUUUAAAACAAACUUUAAAUACGACAGCAACACGUAAAAUACAACUUUAAUUUUAAGCCAAUAAUAAACGUGAGAACGAGGAAAUAAAAACGAAAAACGAUUUAAUAAGCGCAAACGUAAAAGUAAAACAUAAAGUCGAAAAUGUAAGGAAAAAAUACAGCAAUUAAUUUAAAUUUAAUACAUGAAUAAAACAUAAAUGGAGUAAACGAAACGAAAUGAGCAAACAGAAUGAAAGACGCAAAAGCUAAAAACUAUAUUAAAUGAGAAAAAGGAAUGUUAGUUAAGCGAAA